Molecule: ribosomal RNA, 632 nt
Filed under: fungal sp. ARIZ B414cA
Lineage: Eukaryota; Fungi
Description: eukaryotic LSU rRNA
Rfam family: 5.8S ribosomal RNA (bases 246-399)
Source: RNAcentral
UCGUAACAAGGUCUCCGUUGGUGAACCAGCGGAGGGAUCAUUACCGAGUUUACAACUCCCAAACCCAAUGUGAACGUUACCAAACUGUUGCCUCGGCGGGAUCUCUGCCCCGGGUGCGUCGCAGCCCCGGACCAAGGCGCCCGCCGGAGGACCAACCUAAAACUCUUAUUGUAUACCCCCUCGCGGGUUUUUUUAUAAUCUGAGCCUUCUCGGCGCCUCUCGUAGGCGUUUCGAAAAUGAAUCAAAACUUUCAACAACGGAUCUCUUGGUUCUGGCAUCGAUGAAGAACGCAGCGAAAUGCGAUAAGUAAUGUGAAUUGCAGAAUUCAGUGAAUCAUCGAAUCUUUGAACGCACAUUGCGCCCGCCAGUAUUCUGGCGGGCAUGCCUGUCCGAGCGUCAUUUCAACCCUCGAACCCCUCCGGGGGGUCGGCGUUGGGGAUCGGCCCUCCCUUAGCGGGUGGCCGUCUCCGAAAUACAGUGGCGGUCUCGCCGCAGCCUCUCCUGCGCAGUAGUUUGCACACUCGCAUCGGGAGCGCGGCGCGUCCACAGCCGUUAAACACCCAACUUCUGAAAUGUUGACCUCGGAUCAGGUAGGAAUACCCGCUGAACUUAAGCAUAUCAAUAAGCGGAGG